GGGGUCUUAAUGGUUUCGACGUGUUGGCGAAAACCAACCCGUGAUACAGGUCGAGAGUGAGUCUCCUCUCGUAAAUCCAAGGCUCAAAAAAAAGUAACUGCGAACAACAUCGUUCCUUUUGCUCGUUGUAAGGCUGCCACUGUUGCUGCCUAAUAACCUAUAACACAGGUUCGAGCGUCUAUAGUUUGACUCCGUUAAGGACUAUGGACAAACCCCAACGGAUGCUCUAGUAAGCUGUCUUUGGUCGGCUUGCUAGCUAAGAUACUACCAAAGUAUCCUGUCAUCCGGGAUAAUGGAUGGUUCCCGCCCAGAGGGUCAGAUGGGCUAAACCUGUGAAUGAACGGUAGGCAAAUACCCAAGGCGGACACGGGUUCGACUCCCGUAGACUCCAUUU
This 394-nucleotide transfer-messenger RNA is filed under the name Coleofasciculaceae. Its description in RNAcentral is "UBA11370 sp003486645 Standard tmRNA". It matches the Rfam family "transfer-messenger RNA". Rfam says of the family: Bacterial tmRNA, also known as 10Sa RNA or SsrA, is named for its dual tRNA and mRNA-like properties. RNAcentral also lists the same sequence under 3 other names. Lineage: Bacteria; Bacillati; Cyanobacteriota; Cyanophyceae; Coleofasciculales. The record is from RNAcentral.